This 548-nucleotide ribosomal RNA is filed under the name uncultured Glomeromycotina. Its description in RNAcentral is "SSU rRNA". It matches the Rfam family "Eukaryotic small subunit ribosomal RNA", at positions 548 to 1098 of the family's 1831-position model. Lineage: Eukaryota; Fungi; Glomeromycota. The record is from RNAcentral.
UUGGAGGGCAAGUCUGGUGCCAGCAGCCGCGGUAAUUCCAGCUCCAAUAGCGUAUAUUAAAGUUGUUGCAGUUAAAGAGCUCGUAGUUGAAUUUCGGGAUCAGAUUGUCGGUCGUGCCUCGGUACGCACUGGUAUUAUUGGUUCCUACCUUCUGAAGAACCGCGAUGUCAUUAAUUUGGUGUCGUGGGGAAUCAGGACUGUUACUUUGAAAAAAUUAGAGUGUUUAAAGCAGGCUUACGCUUGAAUACAUUAGCAUGGAAUAAUGAAAUAGGACGUUUGAUUCUAUUUUGUUGGUUUCUAGGAUUGACGUAAUGAUUAAUAGGGAUAGUUGGGGGCAUUAGUAUUCAAUUGUCAGAGGUGAAAUUCUUGGAUUUAUUGAAGACUAACUACUGCGAAAGCAUUUGCCAAGGAUGUUUUCAUUAAUCAAGAACGAAAGUUAGAGGAUCGAAGACGAUCAGAUACCGUCGUAGUCUUAACCAUAAACUAUGCCGACUAGGGAUCGGAUGAUGUUAAUUUUUUAAUGACUCAUUCGGCGCCUUACGGGAAAC